RNAcentral lists this ribosomal RNA (256 nucleotides) under uncultured bacterium. RNAcentral's name for it is "partial 16S ribosomal RNA". It matches the Rfam family "Bacterial small subunit ribosomal RNA", at positions 524 to 776 of the family's 1533-position model. The record is from RNAcentral.
UACAGAGGUCCCAAGCGUUGUUCGGAUUCACUGGGCGUAAAGGGUGCGUAGGUGGUGAGGUAAGUCGGAUGUGAAAUCUCCAAGCUCAACUUGGAAACUGCAUUGGAAACUACCUUGCUAGAGGAUUUGAGGGGGGGGGAUUGGAAUACUUGGUGUAGCAGUGAAAUGCGCAGAUAUCAGGAGGAACACCGGUGGCGAAGGCGGGACUCUGGGCCGAUACUGACGCUGAGGAGCGAAAGCGUGGGGAGCAAACAGG